UGUUCUCUAUUAUCAUUCUCUGGGACCGUAAAAUUUUUUUUUUGCUUCACUUAAUUAGAUUUUGAGGACUUAAAAUUUCUUUAUUGAAAAUAAGUCAUAAAGUCUUCUAGGAACCCCUUUGGUUACAUAUAUGAACAUAGAAGUAAGCCUUGGAAAUUAUAAGAAUUAAAACUACAGGAUCAUUUGAAGAAAAACCUAGCUCAUAUUGGACAGGACUGUUGUAAGAAUGAAAUAAUUUAUACUUACCCUUCUAUUACUGUUUUUUUCCUACACAC
This 275-nucleotide long non-coding RNA is filed under the name Bos taurus (domestic cattle). Its description in RNAcentral is "long non-coding RNA NONBTAT011967". The record is from RNAcentral. Lineage: Eukaryota; Metazoa; Chordata; Mammalia; Artiodactyla; Bovidae.